Vicugna pacos (alpaca) is the source of this 2319-nucleotide non-coding RNA. NCBI's taxonomy places the organism in Eukaryota, Metazoa, Chordata, Mammalia, Artiodactyla, Camelidae. The record is from RefSeq and is a predicted model, not a curated record.
GAAGGCCUGAGAUUUGAUAGGUGGGGUCUUACUCUGCAGAAAUAUUGAUUAUUCAUAUUCACAUGACCUAAUCUGUCCCCUCUGACUGGUGGGACUAGAGCUAGUCUGUUUGGGAAGGAGAUGGGUGCUCAGAAGCUGGUUCUUGUGUCUGAGCUGCCAGCUUUUGGUACCAAGAGCUGGAGCGGUGGUUCUCAGACUCAGAGAGUAGAACCACGCAGGGGCUUAUGAGAAAUACAGACUCAAGGCUACCACCUCUGGCCUCCUCCAGUUGAUUUAUCAGGUGGAAGUAAAGACCAGUAAUCUGCAUUUUUAGCAAAUGAUCCAGGAGGAGAAGCACCCUACUUCAGCAUGCACCCCGUCAGGAAAAGGACCAGGUUUUACUUCCCUCCAGAUCCCCUGAAGGCUCUACUGUCUUCUGGGACCCUCCUGGGUAAACUCUGGGCUGGAAAAGCCAUUCCUCUCCCCGCCCCCGCACUGACUUUUGUCCGCCACUUGUCUUAAGCCCAUGCGCAGCUGACCCUUAUUUUCCGGGCCUGUUGACCCCCCCCCCCUAAUCCCUACCCCUGCCUCCAGGGAGGAAGGAGCCAGGCCUGGGGAGUAACAGGACGGUGUUUUAAGAAUUUCGAGGAGCCCAUUUCCAGAAAUCAAAGAGCAGUUGGUUUCAUGCCUUUUAAAUCACACCGAGAGGUUUCAGUUUCCUCCUUUCGCGGGAUCACAAAUAUUUGGCGUUGGGUUUCAGUGUUUUCUGCCAGUGCCGGGAGCUCAGACCGCCCUUCCCCCGGGGCGGGCGCGCUGCGCGCCCGGGUGCGCGGGGCUCUCCUGCGGGCGAUCCCGCGCCGGCGCCUCGGCGUCUCCAGCUGCGCGCAGCAGAGAUGAAGCCUCCCGGGGCCGCACCUCGCCGCCCAGAGCCGGGCUUCCGUCCUCCGUACGUGCAGAGACUAAGAAACAGUUCUCUAGACACUGCAGUGACCAAGACCUCUCCAAGGCCCCUUCCUCUGAGCAGAUGCUCGGAGCCGGGCGAGCUCGGCGGUGAGGCGGACCCGGGCGCCACCUGCCGUCCAUCGCGCCUAAGCGACGGGAGGGUGAAGGGACAAAGUUGCUUUGCACGUCACUGGCCUCCCUAGGAGACAAGUCAAGACUGAAAAAGUGCACCAGACGCCCGGGAAGUGGAUUUGCAGAACUUCUGCGCUAUGCGAGACAGAAAAAUCUUCCUAGAUAAGAGAAAACAUUUUGAGGGGUUCCCACUGUCCUUCAAACUGAUGCCUUGAGGGCCCUGGGAGUUCAGUGUAAACAGCUGGAAAAGUUUGCCAACUCCUGCUCUAAAACUGCUGUGCUGGCUCUCUAGCAGAAGACACAAGAGAGUGGUUGUAAGCAAAGAGACAAAAUUUCCACGGUUCCAGGAAUUGACUGGUGGGUUUGCAUCUGUAAAAAUUUGUUUCUUGCUUGUGCUCUAUAAUCUCAGUAACAUCCAACUACAUAUCUUUCCCCUUAAGCCUCCUAAUAUUUUCAUGAUGUCCUUCAGCCUCUCCUGCUCAUGUCCUCUUAAUGAAUUAUUCCUCUUUCAACAGCCUAAGUCAAAUAUCUUAUUAGUGAAGACCUACCAAACAGAACCAACUAGAUGCUGGUUCUUCUUGGCAUAAAAAUGAAAGACUGGAUUGCUUCUUCCUUUAGGCUCAGUAGAGCCUUUAUCCCCCAGCCCAACCCCCCGCACUAGCCUGUAGAUUCCCGGGGAUGCAGGAGAGCAGGGACUGUGUCUUAUCAGGUUUCCUGCCCAGCUACUGUUACAAGGCCUGUCAAGUAUUAUUACUGUCUUCACCAUUCAUUAAACAUUAUGUGCCAAGGCCUGUGGUCUUUGUUUUCUAGGUUAUAUCAUUUCUAUCUCCCAACAAACUUAAUAGGGAGGUACCACUGUUACCCAUCCUAAUGUUUACAUAUGAGAUAAAUUUAUAUAUUAAAGCUUAGGAGCAUUUUAAAAUAAUUGGCCCCGAAGUCACAUAGCUAGUCAAGUGACAGAGCCAGAUUUAGAAUUCAGAUAAUCCACCUACAGCAUUUUCCACCACAUGUCACAUAUAACAAGCAUAUGAUCAAUAAAGGUUAGCUAUUAGAAUUAUCACCCAAAGUUGGACAGCUGAUAUAGUUAAAAAGCUGAUGUUGUAAUGAGGUGGGAAGGCCCAUAAGAAGACUGGCGGGAUACCCAAGCAGAGCCACUACUAUCCUACCAGCACCCUCUGGUUCCCUGGCCAAGAGGCUCUAUCUCACUUUUUGCCUCUGAAAGGGCUUACUUCUAGGAGAAUGGAACUUACCCCUAAAAUUCUAUUG